Molecule: ribosomal RNA, 440 nt
Filed under: uncultured bacterium
Lineage: Bacteria
Description: partial 16S ribosomal RNA
Rfam family: Bacterial small subunit ribosomal RNA
Source: RNAcentral
CCUACGGGAGGCCGUAGUGGGGAAUAUUGGACAAUGGGGGAAACCCUGAUCCAGCGACGCCGCGUGAGUGAAGCAGUAUUUCGGUACGUAAAGCUCUAUCAGCAGGAAAGAAAAUGACGGCACCUGACUAAGAAGCCCCGUCUAACUACGUGCCAGCAGCCGCGGUUAUACGUAGGCGGCCACCGUUAUCCGGAUUUACUGGGUGUAAAGGGAGCGUAGACGGCAGGUUAAGUCUGGAGUGAAAUGCUGGGGCCCAACCACGGAACUGCACUGGAAACGGGGAAGCUGGAGUGCAGGAGAGGGAAGCGGAAUUCCUGGUGUAGCGGUGAAAUGCGUAGAUAUCACGAAGAACACCGGCGGCGAAGGCAGCUUACUGGACUGUAACUGACGUUGAGGCUCGAAGGCGUGGGGAUCAAACAGGAUUAGAUACCCUUGUAGUC